UUUCAUCUUUUCAUCUCAUUUCAUUAUUUCAUCCUUUCAUCAUUUUGUUGCAUCAUUUCAUCUCAUCAUUUCAUUUCAUUCUUUCAUUUCAUUUCAUCCUUUCAUUUCAUUUCAUCAUUUCAUCUCAACAUUUCAUCAUUUCACUUCAUCUCAUCAUUUCAUUUCAUCUCAUUUUAUUUCAUCUUUUCGUCAUUUCAUUUCAUCAUUGCAUCUUUUCAUCUCAAUUCAUUUUUCAUCAAUUCAUUUCAUUUCACUUAUUUCAUCAUUUCAUCAUUUCACUUCAUUUCAUUUAAUAUCAUUUCAUCAUUUCAUAUCAUUUCAUCAUUUCAUCUUUCCAUUUCAUCAUUUCAUCAUUUGACUUAUCAUUUCAUUUCCUCAUUUCAUCAUUUCAUUUCAUUGCAUCCUUUCAUCAUUUCAUCUCAUUUCAUCCUUUCAUUUCAUUAUUUCAUUUCAUCAUUUCAUCUCAUCAUUGCAUUUCCUCAUUUCAUCAUUUCACUUCAUCUCAUUUCAUAAUUUCAUCUCAUGAUUUCAUUUCAUCUCAUUUCAUCUUUUCAUCUCAUUUCAUCAUUUCAUCUUUUCAUCUCAUCAUUUCAUCAAUUCAUCAUUUCAUCAUUUCGUUAAUCAUUUCACUUCAUUUCAUCAUUUCAUAUCAUUUCUUCAUUUCAUCAUUUGAUCUUUUCAUUUCAUUUCAUCAUUUCACUUCAUCAUUUCAUUUCUUCAUUUCAUUUCCUCAUUUCAUUUCACCAUUUCAUCAUUUCAUUUCAUCAUUCCAUUUCAUCAUUUCAUCAUUUCAUUUCAUCUCAUCAUUUCAUUAUUUCAUCAAUUCAUUUCAUUUACUUCAUCAUUUCUUCAUUUCAUUUCUUCAUUUCAUUUCCUCAUUUCAUUUCACCAUUUCAUCAUUUCAUUUCAUCAUUCCAUUUCAUCAUUUCAUCUCAUCAUUUCAUCCUUUCAUUUCAUUAUUUCAUCUCAUCAUUUCAUCUCAUCAUUUCAUCAUUUCACUUCAUCUCAUCAUUUCAUCUCAUGAUUUCAUCUCAUCAUUUCAUCUCAUGAUUUCAUUUCAUCUCAUCAAUUCAUAGCAUCUUUUCAUCUCAUUUAUUUCAUUUCAUCUUUUCAUUUCGUCAUUCAUUUCAUCAUUUCGUCAAUUCAUUUCAUUUCCUUAUUUCAUCAUUUCAUUAUUUCACUUCAUUUCAUCAUUUCAUUCCAUCAUUUCAUAUCAUUUCUUCAUCAUUUCAUCAUUUCAUUUCACUUCAUUUCACCAUUUCAUCAUCAUUCCAUUUCUCAUUUCAUCUUAUCAUUUCAUUUCAUCAUUUCACUUCAUCUCAUGAUUUCAUCAUUUCAUCUCAUCAUUUCAUCUUUUCAUCUCAUUUCAUUUAAUCAUUUCAUUUCACCUUUUAAUCUCGUCAUUUCAUUUCAUCAUUUCAUGUCAUCAAUUCAUCAUUUCAUUUCAUUAUUUCCUCAUUUCAUCAUUUCACUUCAUCACUUCAUUACAUUUCAUCUCAUCAUUUCAUAUCAUUUGUUCAUUUCAUCAUUUCAUCUUUUCAUUUCAUUGUUUCACUUCAUCAUUUCAUCAUUUCAUAUCAUUUCUUCAUUUCAUCAUUUCAUCUUUUCUUUUCAUCAUUUCAUUUCAUUAUUUCACUUCAUCAGUUCAUUUCAUCAUUUCAUUUCAUUUCCUCAUUUCAUUUCACCAUUUUGUUUCAUCAUUUCAUUAUUUCAUUUCAUCAUUCGAUUUCAUCAUUUCAUUUCAUCAUUUUAUCAUUUCAUUUCAUCUCAUCAUUUCAUCAUUUCAUCAUUUCAUUUCAUUUCAUCAUUUCAUCAUUUCGUUUCUUCAUUUGAUCAUUUCAUUUCAUCAUUUCAUUUCAUUUCAGUGAUACAUGUAUUUAAGUGCUAAUGUGAU
RNAcentral lists this long non-coding RNA (1894 nucleotides) under Homo sapiens (human). RNAcentral's name for it is "HSALNT0123749". Lineage: Eukaryota; Metazoa; Chordata; Mammalia; Primates; Hominidae. The record is from RNAcentral.